CAAGGAGCCAAUGUGGUUGACAUUCACUUACUCAACUUAACCUCAGACACCAAGGAACUGUGGAAUUACAGAGCUCGUUGAGAUCUUGGAGUCCAUUAUCUGCCCUCUCACUUUGUAGAUGAGGACACCAAGGCUCAGAGCGUUCAGUGACCAUUGUGGAUAUGAGAAGCAUUAGAGAAGUUAGAUGUGGACCCUGACAUUCAUAGAAAGAGUCCAAAAACAUCAAUGAGAGCACAUUAGGGCUAGUAACCAGCUUCCAAUAGGAAGCAGAGGCGAAAUUUGGGCGUGAGGGGACGAUGCAAGGGUGGAUCACAGAUCAAGAGGAUGCUGGUGUUGGUCAAAGUUGUGAGGUUGAUACGAUGUGUUGCAAAGAUCUGCAUAAUGUGUUUCAGAGUGUCCAUUGGGCUGGACCCAACUGAAGCUAGAGGGCAAGGAAGUCCAAGUGAUAUAGUCUAAGGCACAGAGCAAGAUGAAGAAAGGUGGGGUGUAGCCUUGGAGGAAUAUCCAGCAAAAGUACAAGACUGGAAGUGAAGAAUGAUGAACAAAACUGAUGCUAAGAAACUUUGCAUUUACGUCUGAUGUACAUGUGACCAGUUAGAAUCUAAACUCAACGACCUUCUUCUUCCCAUUUUUCUGCUGUCCAGUCAUUACUAAUAAAAGAGCCUCUUUCAAAGUUCUCUUUU
Molecule: long non-coding RNA, 683 nt
Filed under: Equus caballus (horse)
Lineage: Eukaryota; Metazoa; Chordata; Mammalia; Perissodactyla; Equidae
Description: lncRNA (ENSECAG00000042844.2)
Source: RNAcentral